GCUGGAGCAGGGCUUGCAGGGGAUUGCUGGCCUUCAGUGUGUGAGGUCUUUGGCCUUUUUCUACGUGAACAUCAAGGUUAAUCUAUGUGGACUUGGCCUUCUGUUGGAGCAAGUUAUUGCAAUGCUGUUGGAGGAGCAUGAGGUUCUUAGCACUUCUUAGCUUCAGAUAUCAAGGGAGAUUCUUGUCCAACAACAACAGAAAAUAGAGCCCAGCCAUUUUUGUCAUCAAGAUUGCCAGGGUCGCAUGAUCUCAAUGGCAAUGCUCACACUUGCUAGAAAUUUGGAUUCAUAAGCUUUUGAGUUAAACAGGGUCUGAGAAUCCUUAAAGCUAACUCCUCUCUGUUUCAGAGGUGCAAACUGCUAAUGAGAAAGAUGCCAAUCUGGUUCUUAUUCUUUUUUUUUUUUUUUUUUGAGAUGGAGUCUUUGUUGUCCAGGCUGGAAUGCAGUGGUGUGAUCUCAUCUCACUGCAACCUCCACCUCCUGGGUUCAAGUGAUUCUCCUGCCUCAGCCUCUGGAGUAGUUGGGAUUACAGGUGCCUGCCUCCACACCCAGCUAACUUUUGUAUUUUUAAUAGGACGGGGUUUUGUCAUGUUGGCCAAGCUGGUCUCAAACUCCUGACUUCAAGUCAUCUACCUGCCUUGGCCUCCCAAAGUUGGUUCUUAUUCUUUUGUUGUUUAUUUGUUUCUUGUUUCUCUCUGAGAGUGUUUAGGAUCUCCUUAGAUUGUUGGUGCUCUGAAAUUCCAAGAGGUUAUUUCUAUGGAUCACUCUUUGUUCAUUGUGCUCAGUGCUUGGGGUCUUUCAAUCCAAAGCUUAUAUCUUUCUUCAAC
This 827-nucleotide long non-coding RNA is filed under the name Homo sapiens (human). Its description in RNAcentral is "LHRI_LNC807.1". Lineage: Eukaryota; Metazoa; Chordata; Mammalia; Primates; Hominidae. The record is from RNAcentral.